GAGUCGUUGAUUUCACACUGCCGAGAAAAGCCUCUAGAUAGAAAAUAGGUGCCCGUACCGCAAACCGACACAGGUAGUCAAGAUGAGAAUUCUAAGGUGAGCGAGCGAACUCUCGUUAAGGAACUCGGCAAAAUGACCCCGUAACUUCGGGAGAAGGGGUGCUCUUUAGGGUUAACGCCCAGAAGAGCCGCAGUGAAUAGGCCCAAGCGACUGUUUAUCAAAAACACAGGUCUCUGCUAAACCGUAAGGUGAUGUAUAGGGGCUGACGCCUGCCCGGUGCUGGAAGGUUAAGAGGAGUGGUUAGCUUCUGCGAAGCUACGAAUCGAAGCCCCAGUAAACGGCGGCCGUAACUAUAACGGUCCUAAGGUAGCGAAAUUCCUUGUCGGGUAAGUUCCGACCCGCACGAAAGGCGUAACGAUUUGGGCACUGUCUCAACGAGAGACUCGGUGAAAUCAUAGUACCUGUGAAGAUGCAGGUUACCCGCGACAGGACGGAAAGACCCCGUGGAGCUUUACUGUAGCCUGAUAUUGAAAUUCGGCACAGCUUGUACAGGAUAGGUAGGAGCCUUUGAAACGUGAGCGCUAGCUUACGUGGAGGCGCUGGUGGGAUACUACCCUAGCUGUGUUGGCUUUCUAACCCGCACCACUUAUCGUGGUGGGAGACAGUGUCAGGCGGGCAGUUUGACUGGGGCGGUCGCCUCCUAAAAGGUAACGGAGGCGCUCAAAGGUUCCCUCAGAAUGGUUGGAAAUCAUUCAUAGAGUGUAAAGGCAUAAGGGAGCUUGACUGCGAGACCUACAAGUCGAGCAGGGUCGAAAGACGGACUUAGUGAUCCGGUGGUUCCGCAUGGAAGGGCCAUCGCUCAACGGAUAAAAGCUACCCCGGGGAUAACAGGCUUAUCUCCCCCAAGAGUUCACAUCGACGGGGAGGUUUGGCACCUCGAUGUCGGCUCAUCGCAUCCUGGGGCUGUAGUCGGUCCCAAGGGUUGGGCUGUUCGCCCAUUAAAGCGGUACGCGAGCUGGGUUCAGAACGUCGUGAGACAGUUCGGUCCCUAUCCGUCGUGGGCGUAGGAAAUUUGAGAGGAGCUGUCCUUAGUACGAGAGGACCGGGAUGGACAUACCUCUGGUGUACCAGUUGUCGUGCCAACGGCAUAGCUGGGUAGCUAUGUGUGGACGGGAUAAGUGCUGAAAGCAUCUAAGCAUGAAGCCCCCCUCAAGAUGAGAUUUCCCAACUUCGGUUAUAAGAUCCCUCAAAGAUGAUGAGGUUAAUAGGUUCGAGGUGGAAGCAUGGUGACAUGUGGAGCUGACGAAUACUAAUCGAUCGAAGACUUAAUC
This 1331-nucleotide ribosomal RNA is filed under the name Staphylococcus aureus M0572. Its description in RNAcentral is "bacterial LSU rRNA". It matches the Rfam family "Bacterial large subunit ribosomal RNA", at positions 1588 to 2925 of the family's 2925-position model. Lineage: Bacteria; Bacillati; Bacillota; Bacilli; Caryophanales; Staphylococcaceae. The record is from RNAcentral.